Alligator mississippiensis (American alligator) is the source of this 5305-nucleotide long non-coding RNA. RefSeq lists it as uncharacterized. NCBI's taxonomy places the organism in Eukaryota, Metazoa, Chordata, Crocodylia, Alligatoridae. The transcript has 4 exons. The record is from RefSeq and is a predicted model, not a curated record.
AGCUGUCUAACCUGAAGUAAAUGUCUCUCAGUAAUUCUGAUUAUGUUCCUGGCAAACCCAAUGGCUAUAACAGCAUUGAAAAUGUUAUCAAGACAUAUUUCCUGGCAAAGUUCCUGAAUUGUUUGAUUUAUGUCUUCAUCUAACCAAGUAACACAAUCAUGUGCCCUCUGACCACCCAGGGCACAAAUGCACCCCCAAUAGUUAUCAAAAAGUCUCCUCCUCAAGCAGUAUUUCAUUAUGCCAUAAUAGGAAAUGCACACAAGAGACUUCAUGAAGAUUUUACAUUCUUGAUGUGAAACAGGACCUGAUGAUUCAAUGCCUAAUUGUCUUCUGAACUCUUCAGCCUCAUCUGGUCUCUGUUCUCUGCAGAAGAAUACGCUUCCUUCUGGUGUCAUCUGUACAGGUGUACUGGUAAUGGCUUCACAGUCCUUGGAAUUUUCCAAGACUCUCAUGCAAGCACAGCUUGAGUAUAAAGGUAAAUAUAAUUUCACAAGCCCCCUCUCACAAAUUGCUUGUGAUCUUGACCACAAACUGCUUUGCUAUGUGUCAGAAAGCUAAGAUCAGCAGUAUGGAGCUGACGUCCCAGGAGGCUGAUACUUCCAAUGCCCAUAGACCCAGCUGGACCCAGAAAGAACUGGAAGACUUAAUUGACAUUUGGUUGGAGCAAAGGAUCAUAGACAGGCUGGAAAGUAGGAGGAAUAAGCCUGUUUAUGUUGAGAUGUAGGUGCAUGUAGGUGCGAGGGCACAAUCGUGACUGGACCUAGGUUCAGUGCAAGAUCAAGUCCCUGAGAUCUGUGUUUUACCAAGUCAAAGAUAAGAACUCUUGUUCUGGGGCAGGUUGCACAAUUUCUCCCUUUUACGACAAGCUGUCCACUAUUCUCUCUGAUGAUAUGGGCGACAACCCAGGUAUGGAGACUUUCAGCACCGGGGUUGGGCAAGAGGAGGAGGUGGAGGAGAAGCAGUAGCCCCACCUGAGGGUGAAACCAUGGACAUGAUUCAGCUGUACGCAAACCACUCCCUGCUCCAUGAUGACCGUGGCUGGCAGGAAGAACCAUUGAUCACCAUACACUUAGUGCCACUUUGCCCCUCCAUUCCAUGGACUAGCACAGAUGAUGAAGCGGAGGAGGUGGACAGUCAGGAAGAAGCCCAUGCGGCUGAUACAUCAUCUACUGCUACUGAGACCCAAGAACAUGCUGAACCUGCUAGCAUGGGCAGUGGCAGCUGUGGACCUGUUUCCGAAGUGGGUAUUUGUAAGUUUUGGGUAGUACAAGUGGUGCCUCACUGUUGUGGGGUCUGAUUCUGUGCCUGCCGUUAUGUUCACUGCACAGUGGAGGUGGUGGGUGUACUUUCCUCAACCUGGGUGGAAUGCAACCAUUGCUUUUUUCUUUGUUUAUCAGCCACUGCGACCCAUGGCAGGGAUUUUCACAGCAGGCAGUGAUGGUCCCAUGAAACCUCACUCAAGGUUUUGGCAGAGUCCUCACUAGCCAGAGUGACAUGCUCAGAUGCUUGGCAGGACAAACUCCUCAAGUUACUGUCCCAGCGCCAGAGUGUCUGAGUUUUUUUUCCACACCAAAACGAGGUUGCUGGGGGCCUUGCCCUGCUGAAGGACUAUAAAUUGGUGGGGCAGAGGUUAAGGUGUGAGUUUGCUGUAUCGAUGAGGCAGGUUUGAGGUGGGUGAGGGAUGACAGUACAGUGGAGGCAGAGAAGGAUUCAUCCCAGGCACAAGACUUACCCCUAGGGGAGAACAGCAAUGCAAAUCCAGGGUUCAAGAAGACUGCAGGCUUAUCAAGUGGCGUACAGUGAAGCUUCCAGUGCUAUUUGAUGCCUGCACGUCUGUGACAUGUGACUCGAAAGAGGACAUGGCAAAGUGCUCCUCGUCACCUUUGGUAAGUGACAUCUGACACUAGAAGCAACAGCCCCGGGCAUAGUGGUUUGGGGGCCCCAUGGAGACAGGAAGAGUGGGCGGGGGGACUCCUCAGUGCCACUGUCAGCCUUGCAUCCAGACACUCACCAACUCCCCUCCCCACCCCCAAAAGCCACCGCGGCACAUGGGAUUGGCUCUGUGUGGGGGGAGGCUAAUUCGUACCAUGGUUCUCCAGUGCCCAGGGGCCAAGCUGGGGGUGCCACUGCCCUUGCUCCUGUGUGCCCCAGACAAGCUGCCUUUGGUGGCAGCUUCAGCGAUGAGGGGGGAAGGGCAGAGGGAGGCUGAGCAGUGUGGCACCCCCAGGCACCUACCAAUGGCGCCCCCUUUGCAUCUGUGCCUGAGGUGGCUGUCUCACCUGCUACCACCAGUACACCACUGCCCUGCACCCUGAUAAGGUCAUCUCUGGUUGGGUGGAAUGCAUUGCUUAGUUCAAAUUUAUUAUAAAUGGGACUGGUGGAAUUUUAUGGGCAUGAAGGAAGGUACGCGAGGUACACAAGAGGCACCAAUACAAAUUCCCAGUGCUUUUUCUAGGCUCCCUCUGGUUUUUAGAUCCCCUUCUACUGCUAGUUGCAGGCUGAUCGAUGCCUGUUGGUGUGACAAAAGGCAGAAAAAGAAAGGAAGAAAGAGAAAAUGAAGAGGAUGACAACGCUUCCUUCAGAAUUCUCUCAACAACUGAAUUAUUAUGCAUUAUAAUUAUAGUUGACUUUCAUCCUAUAGACUUAUAUAGACUUAUAAUAUAAUAACAAGUAAUGCUAAUAAUAGGAAGCAAUAAUAAUAUUAAUUCGAAUAGUAAUAUAUUAAUAAGAUAUGUAAUAAUAUUAAUAUUAAUGAAGAUUUAUUAAUGGUAAAUAAUAAUUGUAAUGGUUUGAUUCCUUAACAUGGCAUUUCAAAGCAGGUAGAUCUGCCUUAUCACUGCCUCCACCUGCCCCCACAGCUGCCUCUUGCAGCAUGCAUGCCAUGCAUCCUGGGCACACAUCACACACAUCCUGGGCCUCCACCAUAUAUAUAUUGCCAAUAUAUGAUAUAGACUUAUGUUAUAUAGACUUAUAAUUACAGUUUGAUUCUUUAUGAUGAGAAAGCAGAUAGUGAGCAUAAGGCAGGUGAUUAUGUGCCCUUCCUCCCUGCCUCUUCCCCCAAGGCAGUGAUUGCCCACCUCCUGGUUACUGGCCAUAUUAAUAAGCAAGCUCCUCCCUAGGUUUCUGUAUUCUAGGGGCAGGCAAUUAUUUCAGGAGGAGGGCCGCUUACUGAGUUUUGGCAAGGCAUCGAGGGCCACAUGAUAGGCAGCCAGGGCAGAUAAAUAUUAACUUUCUAAAUUUUUUAGGGGCCCCACAGGCCAGAUAGAAUGGCCUGGCAGGCCGCAUUCGGCCUGUGGGCCGCAUUUUGCCCACCCCUGCUCUAUUCCCAUGACUGGGCCUCCUGGCUUGGGGAAAAGUACUGAAUUCUGAGCCUGAUACUGCACCAGGAGGAGGGCAAGGCUUUCUUUUCACCCUCCUCCUUGUUUUCUGGUGAGGCCACAAAUGCAGCUGAGGCUAUUUUUAAUAGGAUACUAUGCAGUAUGAAGUGUAUCAUUGAGGGGACUCAUAUUCAUUGAGUGACAGUCCCCUCACUAGCCUACUAUCAAGCGACGGUCGCUGUAAAGAAGCACAUAAAGAAAUGAAUAUUAACUAGGUAAUGAAUGUGUACUACAGUAAAUACAUACAUUAUUAAGACUUAUGAAUUAUUAAGAAUUACAUUUACUCACUGUAAUAUUUGAAUUGUUGAUGGCCACUAGUACUGCAGGGGCUUCUCUUCUGUCUACCUGAAUUAUUGCACAAGUUCUGCAGGUUCUUUUCAUAUUAUUCUCACCCUCCUCCUGGUUGCUGGCCACAAGUACUGUUGAAGCUUCUCUUCUGUCUACUACUUGAAUUGCAGCGGCUUUCUUCACGGGUUUUGGCCUGAGCAUUAGUUUGAGUAUAGUAAGAGUUGCACAAGUUUUGCAGAUCCGUUUCAUAUUAUUCCCACCCUCCUCCUGGUUGCUAAUGAGUGUAUUAUGAAAUUGUAAUUUGAGAUUUGUUGCUGGCCACAAAUCUGGAGGCUUUCUUUUUGGUUGCUGGCCAAACCCUCUGACAAAUUCUCUCCCGGGUCUGGGUAGUAGGCCCAUGCCUGCAGUCUCUUCGCCCACCUCUGCCUUACACCUCUUCAUUGCACCUUGUAACUUUUGAAUUGUUGCUGGCCACAAAAGCAGCCGAGGCUUGAGUUUCUUCUCUGAAUUGCAGAGACUUUCUUCUUGGUUGCCAAGCCCUCCUGCUUUUUUCACUGGCUUUGGCCCGAGCAUCAGCUUGAGUAUGGUAAGAGUUGUUGAAUGCAUGUCUUCUGACUGGAGUAAAUACAGAACCGUGUCUUCAGGCCCACUUCAUAUUCUUCUCGCCUUCCUCUUGGAUACUGGCUAUGUCCCAGCAAAUUUAGACUGGGGUACAUGUUUUCUGACGGGGGAAAAGCUUCUUACUGGGGAAAACCCUCCCUGCCGCCUGUAUCAGCACGAGUUGCACAAGUUCUUCAGGCCUAUUUCAUUCAUUUCUGCAGCUGCAGCUGUGCUCAGGAGCUAUGACCACUGCAGUGGACUAGGGCUGGGGGCACAGGUGGGGCCUUUCAUAUCACCCACUCCUUGAGUUUCUUUUCCGAAUUGCAGAGACUUUCUUCUUGGUUGCCGGCCAAGCCCUCCGGCAAAUUCCCUCCUGGGGUCCAGGUAGAAAUGCUGGCUGCACACUAGUACUGGCCAAGAAUUUGACCUCUGUCCAUCUGAUAACAGUCCAUCCUGCAACUCUUUCCAGUAAUCCCACGACUCCAUAAAAGUCACACAAUCAUCAGCUCUCUGAAAACUCACUCCCCAUUAACCAUGCAUGCCAAUUCUACCUAUCAAAGAAAACAUGACACAUGUAUAGAUCAAAAAUAAAACACUGAUGGGACACAGCCAGUAACCAGUAAGAGGGGCUGGCUGGCUGCUGCCUCCCUUUCACCCUCCCCCCAUGCAGCCAUACAUCCAUCCCUCACCAGGUGACAUACUGCAUGAGAUUGGAGAAAGGGAACACUCACACUUAUUAUACAACGACAGUUGCUUGAUGGUAGUAAUACUGGGGGGAAUAUCAAGGGAUUAUUCAACGGACCUUGGGAGCAUAUUGUGAAUUGGUGUUUUAUCCUAUUGUAUUGUGUUUGCUGGCAAUGGCUGUAAUGUCCUUAGGAAAAAAUGUAUUCCCCGGUUGUCUACCAAUGGCAUUGUUGAGUAAAACUAAAAUGUGUAUACUGUUUUAGCUUUAUUGUGAUUUCUCAACCGAAUUGAAUGAAAUUCAAUUUAUUGUGAAAAAAAUAAUGACGAGGAACAAAAAAUGCUGAUUCGUACUUGCU